This 516-nucleotide ribosomal RNA is filed under the name uncultured bacterium. Its description in RNAcentral is "bacterial SSU rRNA". It matches the Rfam family "Bacterial small subunit ribosomal RNA", at positions 36 to 507 of the family's 1533-position model. The record is from RNAcentral.
CGACUGGCGCGUGCCUAAUACAUGGCAAGUCGAACGCACUCUCGUUUAGAUUGAAGGAGACUUGCUCCUGAUUGAUAAACAUUUGAGUGAGUGGCGGACGGGUGAGUAACACGUGGGUAACCUGCCCUAAAGUGGGGGAUAACAUUUGGAAACAGAUGCUAAUACCGCAUAAAACCUAACACCGCAUGGUGUAGGGUUGAAAGAUGGUUUCGGCUAUCACUUUAGGAUGGACCCGCGGUGCAUUAGUUAGUUGGUGAGGUAAAGGCUCACCAAGACCGUGAUGCAUAGCCGACCUGAGAGGGUAAUCGGCCACACUGGGACUGAGACACGGCCCAGACUCCUACGGGAGGCAGCAGUAGGGAAUCUUCCACAAUGGACGAAAGUCUGAUGGAGCAACGCCGCGUGAGUGAAGAAGGUUUUCGGAUCGUAAAACUCUGUUGUUGGAGAAGAAUGUAUCUGAUAGUAACUGAUCAGGUAGUGACGGUAUCCAACCAGAAAGCCACGGCUAACUACGUG